AGCCUGUGAAGUUCAUCAUCCAUCUUCUUUGAUUUCUUCGUUAGGCGACGAACUUUUCUUCUCAGAUCUCAGAUCAUAGACUUCAAAAGAAUCCCCUGUGGUAGGGGAAGAGCUUCAGCAGGGCACUGUUGUUGGGAAACAAGAGCGUCACAACGUAAAUCAUUGCAAAAAAAAAAGAAAAAGAAAGUAGAAGAAGAAAAAGGAGCU
Molecule: long non-coding RNA, 207 nt
Filed under: Elaeis guineensis (African oil palm)
Lineage: Eukaryota; Viridiplantae; Streptophyta; Magnoliopsida; Arecales; Arecaceae
Description: long non-coding RNA (EGUI_LNC069482)
Source: RNAcentral